UACGGAGGGUGCAAGCGUUGUUCGGAUUUACUGGGCGUAAAGAGCACGCAGGCGGUCGUUCAAGUCGAGUGUGAAAGCCCCCGGCUCAACUGGGGAGGGUCACUCGAUACUGAUCGACUCGAAGGCAGGAGAGGGUAGUGGAAUUCCCGGUGUAGUGGUGAAAUGCGUAGAUAUCGGGAGGAACACCAGUGGCGAAGGCGACUACCUGGCCUGUUCUUGACGCUGAGGCGCGAAAGCUAGGGGAGCAAACGGG
This 253-nucleotide ribosomal RNA is filed under the name uncultured bacterium. Its description in RNAcentral is "partial 16S ribosomal RNA". It matches the Rfam family "Bacterial small subunit ribosomal RNA", at positions 524 to 776 of the family's 1533-position model. The record is from RNAcentral.